Molecule: ribosomal RNA, 464 nt
Filed under: uncultured bacterium
Lineage: Bacteria
Description: partial 16S ribosomal RNA
Rfam family: Bacterial small subunit ribosomal RNA
Source: RNAcentral
CCUACGGGUGGCAGCAGUGGGGAAUAUUGCGCAAUGGGCGAAAGCCUGACGCAGCGACGCCGCGUGAGGGAUGAAGGUCUUCGGAUCGUAAACCUCUGUCAGCAGGGAAGAACGGUCACUGUGCUAAUCAGCAGUGAAUUGACGGUACCUGCAAAGGAAGCACCGGCUAACUCCGUGCCAGCAGCCGCGGUAAUACGGAGGGUGCGAGCGUUAAUCGGAAUUACUGGGGGUAAAGCGCUCGUAGGCGGUAUGUCAAGUCAAGGGUGAAAUCCCCGCGCUCAACCCCGGCCGGCCGUUGAAACUGGCGUGCUCGAGUUGGAGAGAAGUAUGCGGAAUUCGUGGUGUAGCGGUGAAAUGCAUAGAUAUCACGAAGAACCCCGAUUGCGAAGGCAGCAUACCGGCUCCACACUGACGCUGAGGCACGAAAGCGUGGGUAUCGAACAGGAUUAGAUACCCGGGUAGUC